UUAAUGGAUUUUAAGGAUGCCGUGACCAUCAAGAGUCAGUCCUGUAGGCAUUUUCUGGAGAAGUUAUCUCAGAACUUAUCUCUCAUCCUAAACUCGGUGAGAGACGAAUGUUACCAGAGACACGAGGAGCUCCAGAAGCAGAGAAAACAUGCUGUUUUCCCAACGCGGUGCCGUGAGCCUAUUUACCUGCAGCUGGACCAGCAGAGGAAGCUCAGGAACGACUUGGUGGAGUCUGAACACACGUUGAUGAAACUGGGCCGGUUUUCAGCUCUCACUCAUCACAUGGUGAUACAGGCUCUGGUUUCCUUCAUCCAGCAAGAUGCUCUUCAUUUUCUCAACGUUUUAAAGGUAAUGAAGUCCCAGCAGCGCUCUGUGUUUCUCACCGAGCUUUGUUUCAACACCGAUGAUGAGCUGACGGUGGAACCAUCAAUGCAUCAGUUUGAACAAACACUUCUUCACUCCAUCAGUGGCUCCAUUAUUCAGGUGAUCUUUACACCACAAU
Molecule: long non-coding RNA, 502 nt
Filed under: Gouania willdenowi (blunt-snouted clingfish)
Lineage: Eukaryota; Metazoa; Chordata; Actinopteri; Blenniiformes; Gobiesocidae
Description: lncRNA (ENSGWIG00000000091.1)
Source: RNAcentral